Long non-coding RNA from Brachypodium distachyon (stiff brome), 1733 nucleotides. RefSeq lists it as uncharacterized. NCBI's taxonomy places the organism in Eukaryota, Viridiplantae, Streptophyta, Magnoliopsida, Poales, Poaceae. The transcript has 3 exons. The record is from RefSeq and is a predicted model, not a curated record.
CAUCCUUGCCGUUGGCGUGUCUCCAACCCAGCGGUUGGUUCAUUUUAUUAUUAUUUUCCUGGACCGACCUGCUGCCGUCUCUCGAGUCUCGAGGUCCAUUCCCUGCCGGCUGCCACUUCCCGAGCCGGCCGCCGUUCCAUGAGCUUCCCCCGCCGGCCACCUCUCCCCGAGGUGCCCCCUCGCCCUCCGCUCCAUGAGUUUCCCCGCCGUCCGCCGCUCCCCAAGAUCCCAACGCGGGCCUCCGUUUCACGAGGUUCCCCCGCCGGCCGCCGCUCCACGAGAUCAGCAGCGCCACCUGUAGCGCCGACGGAUCCCGUGGUGCUGAGAGGCCAGCUGCUCCCACGGCGACGAGCGGCGGCUCCGCGAUGUGAGGCGGCGACGGAAGGUGCCAGGUUGAGAGGUUCGUUGACCUCGACCAUGCUCCGGCAGCCGUUCUCACAACCGUUGGCCACAUGCCAAGGAAGGCUGCUACAUUGCGAGCAUGUUGUUUCAGGUCAUGCAGUUUUUCUAUCAGCCAUCUUAAAAACAUGAGAUCCAUGACAAAAAAAAAACCGACAUGUCAUUUUACUUUGGCAAGAAUUGUUUUGUGAGAUGUUAAACUAAUAUGUGAAUCUGCAACCCCCAUGAUGCACUUUGAACAUGCAGGCCCAUGUCAUGCAAACUGGAGUGGACUAGCCAAAGAUAAACCGUGAUCUUUUUGUUGCUAUUAUAUUCUUGAUUUUUCAUAAAUUAGGCUAUGUUUUUUUGAGAAACAUAGUACAAACACAGACGCUCACAACACGACGGGUACGUCACCUACCACUGAAAGAAUAGCGCCGGUUAAAUUCUGUAAUAAGAAAUGUGACAUUCAUGUCAAGUCUAGGACUUGAAUCUGGGUGGGUUAUUUCCACCAGAAAGAAACAGACCACCUGAGUUACGCUCUAUGUUUUUGCAAGAUAAAUACUUAAAUUUAUCCGCUAUGGCGUUUUAAGUGCGGGCGUGCCAGUAUAGCAUUGUAUACAAAUUAAACAAAUAUAAACACAUGGAAAUUGGAAACUCGCUUCUUAUCACUUAUCGAUGAUUUACAUUAUUCUUCUUUCCCGUGUAUCUUGUGUACUGUGCAUGUGUAUCUGACUGAGACGAUUGUAAGGUUCUUGAUUCCCGAAAUCUUGGAAAAAUUUAAGUUAAUUUCAUUUGAGGUACAUAUACUCGCAGAACACCUCCGAUUAAGUUACAUCAAACAUUCAGUGGUCAUCUUUAUAAAAAAAAAACUUGGGGUUUAGGUCAUCACGAAGUGAUGCGGCCAAACACAAACGCAAGAGACAUGUCUUAACGUGGAAACCCAAAUUGAGAAAAAACCACGGUGGCGCGAAGGCCAAGUCCACUAUAUGAUUGUUUACAAACAACGGGUGUUGCAACAUUGCUCUUUUAUCAUCAUAUUCCUAAUCACAGUCAAUCUGGCAUGGCGAAUUAAUUCUUGUGGUAGAUGGACAUGUCGGUCACUAGGUUUAUGCAUAUUGCUGCCACCAGGAUGCUAAUUUCUGUAGAUUGAGGCUUGCGGCGACGGGGUCCAUCCGUGGUUGCGACACGGCGCCAGACAGAGCCAUGAAUGCGAGCGACACGGCUACAGGUAGAACCACGGAUGCCAUGAAACUAGCGUGAAAUGGACCGUUAGGCUCCCGGCGAUCUGCUCCUGAACUGAAGACACCAGAGAUUGAAGUAAAUGGCCGCUCUGCUUGUAUCAUGAAGAAAUC